AUGAGGAUAAAGAUUCCAAAUUUCAGGAAUGGAUUCUCAGGCAGUGAGUUAGAACAUUUAAAGAAGGAGAGAGAAAUAAGUGGUUUAGAGUUUCGCAAGGGGGGAUUUUUCCCCUCAGACCACUGGAACAGGACUCUGCUCCACUCCAGUUCACAUCCCUGCUGUGCCACAGCUGUGCACCUAGAAAUUUCCAUCAGAAGUGCUCAACAUUGCCUCGUGUGUUUAGGGUGACUUCCCUCCACCAUCAAAACAUCAGAUGCCCAAAAAUCCACCUGGAAAUCUGGAUCAUUUAAGACUGCACUAGGACAUAACAUGGAGGACAUGAAGUCACUGAGGAAGGAGUAAUUGCAAGGAGGGACUGAGGGGUAUGGAGGAAGGCCAGCAAAAAACUACAAAACAACAAAAGUGGUGGAAGAAAAACUGGGAAAAGGAAGCGAAAAUGGUAAAGUGAUGCCAUAAUGCUUUACUGGCUCUAAUGAAAGGAAAACUUAGGAAAGCAUUCAUUUAUUCUGUUUCAGCCAAAGGAAAAAAAAAAAGGGGGGGCAAUGAAAAAGAGAAGGAAAAAAAAAGUACAGAAUGUAGAACAUGUGAAGAAAAAAGCCAGCAAAGGAAGAGGAAAUGAAAAGAGAGGAGAAACAAGUGCUGGAAGUAGAGGAGAGGAUGGUGGGGGAGGAGGCAGCACAAAGAGAUCUGAUGAACAGGGCUUUUAGCUGUAGUUGUCCAGCAUCCUCUCUGCACCACCCCCAGCCCUGUGUUUUGUGUACCAUUCCAGUCAGAUUGCUGAGGAGAGAGACAAAGGACAGAUUCCAGGAUAAAAUCAAAACUGCUCUAGAAAUGCACUGUGUGUGGCAGCGUUUGGAACAGUGGUGAGAGGUUAAAAAAAGUGUUUGACUCUAACCCAAGAAUCAAAAUUAAUGUCAGAGAAUUUAAUGCAACACCAGGUGUGGUGGAACAAAGACUGUUGGGGGGUCUCAUUUUGUUCAGUUAUGACAAGCAUUGUUCAGCACUUUAAAAGAAACAACAGCGUAAUGGUUUUUACUGAAUUGUAUGAAGAAACAGGAUAACUUUAACGAAUAUCACAAAACAUGUCACAAAUCAAUUGUAUUGAAAAUAUAUUAGGUUUCUUUAAAAGAAAAGAUCAGAAAAGGAAGCAGCACAAGCAGGAGGAGAAACAGCACACAAAGAUUUACUUCUGAGUGCUACAAAAUAUUGAACUAAAAAUAACAUUAAAGAUGAAAUUUGCAAUGAAUCUCAAGCUGCUAAAUUCCCAAAGGCUGGGUCUGCCAAAGGCUCUGUUGGUUUCCUCUGUUCUUUUCUGUCUUUAUUUAAAUAUUUUAUACAGUUGUCUAUGUUCAUGUGUAGUGCGAACUGUCAUUUAUAUUUCAGUCCACUCUAAAAUGGAUCUUAGACUAUCUCAAGCUGUGCACUGCAGCGAGGAGUUUGGAACUGAGAGGUAAGUUGAAGUGGUAGGGACAAAUGAAGACUGAUAUUUAAUGUAGUUUUUGUGUACUUAUAUUUUGCUGUCAUGUAUUUUGCCUUAAAACUGAUUUGUAAUUUUCUGCAUUUUGUGACAUUAUGAUAAGAUGUGAUGUAAGCGGGGCUUCCAUUUACCAAAUACAUUGGUGCAUUUUUGGGUCACAGUGGUUGAAUUCUGAAUUCUGACCUUAGGCUUUCAUGUCUAUCAGUAACAACAUGCAAGUUUAGAUCUGCACUCUUAAAUGCUUCUCCUUGUGCUUUGGAC
This 1741-nucleotide long non-coding RNA is filed under the name Taeniopygia guttata (zebra finch). RNAcentral describes it as "lncRNA (ENSTGUG00000019220.1)". The record is from RNAcentral. Lineage: Eukaryota; Metazoa; Chordata; Aves; Passeriformes; Estrildidae.